UGCUGGGAGUCUUACUACACAUAUAAGUCUAUUAAUAUGUGUAUCAAGCCUCCCAGCGG
Molecule: microRNA precursor, 59 nt
Organism: Gadus morhua (Atlantic cod)
Lineage: Eukaryota; Metazoa; Chordata; Actinopteri; Gadiformes; Gadidae
Source: Ensembl